GCAGAAAGAUGGGAGGUAGAAACCGAGUCCAGGGUUGCUGCAGUGUAUGCAUCUGGUGUCUGUUGAUUCUGCAAGAUUGUUGAGGUUGAGUGUGAGCCACUCAAAAGAUUUUGACAGUCUGCUUCACUCCCUUGAUGCCCAAACUUCCUGCAGACCUAAUUGAUUAUUGGACACAAGAAGGCACACCAUAUUCAUGUAUUCAAGCUCCUAUACAUACAUGCAUACAUAGAUAGGUUUAGAUAUUUUAUUUAAAUAAUUGUUUAGCUUUUUACAAACUAUGGGUGGAACUAGGAUGGUCCGGACUUCAUAAACACAUUAUCAAACCAACUGGGCAUGGCUUUGUUUUCCAGAACAGAAACAAGUGAUGAUACCUCAUGAUUGUUUUUAACCUCAUAGAAAUGAGGGUAAUAAAUAAAUAAAUAAUAAUAAUAAAAAAAAUUAAAGCUGCUUUAAUGCCAAUUUUUACAAAAUCACCAACUCUAUCUGCUAUGACCAGUAAAUGUUUAAUCAAAUGU
Long non-coding RNA from Myripristis murdjan (pinecone soldierfish), 515 nucleotides. RefSeq lists it as uncharacterized. The record is from RefSeq and is a predicted model, not a curated record. NCBI's taxonomy places the organism in Eukaryota, Metazoa, Chordata, Actinopteri, Holocentriformes, Holocentridae. The transcript has 3 exons.